GACCAACCCUUAAAGACUGCUGCAUCUUUAGGAUAUUCUAGUCCAACAUCGAGGUCACAAACUCUCUUUUCGAUAAGAACUCUCAAAGAGAAUUAUGCUGUUAUCCCUAUGGUAACUAAUUCCAUUGAUCAAAAUUUCUGGAUCAAGACCCGCGGGUCGUGUAAUAAUAAAGAAGCUUUAUUUGUUCCAUAGUCGCCCCAACCAAAAUCUAAAACAGGUUAAUAUUUAAAGCUAUAUAUUGCUCUCAAUUUAUUCUUUUAAAGCUCAAUAGGGUCUUCUUGUCCUUCAAUAACAUUUAGGUUUCUUCACCUAAAAAUCAAGUUCUGAAAAAUUAUGUAGAGACAGUCUUGUUCACGUCAAACCAUUCAUACUAGCCCUCAAUUAUAGGGCAAAUGAUUAUGCUACCUUUGCACGGUCAGAGUACCGCGGCCGUUGAAAAUUAUUCACUGGGCAGGUCCGACUC
Molecule: ribosomal RNA, 463 nt
Filed under: Pseudozonaria nigropunctata
Lineage: Eukaryota; Metazoa; Mollusca; Gastropoda; Littorinimorpha; Cypraeidae
Description: partial 16S large subunit ribosomal RNA
Source: RNAcentral